This 73-nucleotide transfer RNA is filed under the name Nitrospinae bacterium CG11_big_fil_rev_8_21_14_0_20_45_15. RNAcentral describes it as "tRNA-Ala". It matches the Rfam family "tRNA". From Rfam's summary of the family: Transfer RNA (tRNA) molecules are approximately 80 nucleotides in length. Their secondary structure includes four short double-helical elements and three loops (D, anti-codon, and T loops). Lineage: Bacteria; Pseudomonadati; Nitrospinota. The record is from RNAcentral.
GGGGCUGUAGCGCAGUUGGGAGCGCGCUUGAAUGGCAUUCAAGAGGUCAGGGGUUCGAUCCCCCUCAGCUCCA